CUCUCAGUUUUAGUCAAUAUUGGAGUAUUUCUGCUUGAAUUAUCUCUCAGUAGCAGGUACCAUGAGGCCAAGAAAGCAGGGCUGGCUUCACCUGUGUCUUCAGCUUCUCUCUCUGUCCUGAUGACUAACCUCAUUUCUGGACCAACGGGGGAGAAUGGCCUUCAGACUGUCUAGAAAAAGGAGGGAAGAUUUGAUGAGAAAGGGAAGGGAACUGGAAAGAAAAAUAGUGAUUAGGAAUGGGUGAAGGUCAAAGGGUACAGACCUACAGUUGGAAGAUGAUUAAGUUCUGGGGACAUAAUGUACAGCAUGUGACCAUAGUGAACACGAUGCAUUGUAUUUCUGGAAGUUGCUGAGAAAACAGUUAAUAGUUUUCAUCACACUGGCACCCUGUUAUAACUGAAGUGAUGGAUACAUUGAUUUAUCUUACUGUCGUAUCAUUUUGCAGUAUACACAUAUAUAAAACCUUCAUGCUGUAAACUCUAAACGUACAGUGUCCUAUACCAAUGCUGUCUCAAUCUAUUUUUAAAAACUGGUUGCAGCAGACAGGGUUAUAACCACCAUCAGAUUCUAUAUUCCUCCUCAGUCUAGAUGAUGGAGAGACCUCAGGAGAGACUUAAGGACCUUCCAUUUUCUUUUUUCCUCUGCCCCUAGCAAGCUGUGAAAUAUUCAACAUCCAAGACAUUUUCCCCCCUUGAUUCCAUAUUUCACUUUAAUUUAGCUCACAGCUUCCCCUGAGCUGUUUUUUAGCCUGGCUUCUAUGAGUGCCAAUCUGCAUGUGUGCAGUAACAUAGCAUUUGGCUGGAACAUGCCCCAAAGGGGUCGCUACCCAGAGUUCUGGGCAUCCUUUGCACAGCUCACUUCUCUGGAGGUCUGAGCUGAGCAAGUUCAGUCAGCCUCAGCAGCCCCCACACCACCUACUGUCUUCAUCCUUUGCUCGGUGAGAACUGUGUUCUUCUUGGGGUCACUUGUUUAACAUGCAGCAUGGAUAGUGUCUGCGGGCAGAAAGCCUGGACAAUGGUAGGGCUCACACCCAUCGUUUGCUUUCCCUGAGGAAGUCUAAUGCUGCCCUCUUUGCCACAAUUUGCACUUGUUUGUUGCAUAUACUAUGACCAGUUUUACAGCUGGUUUUGUCAGGAAUACUUGACCUGUACCAGGUAAUCAAUGAUGGCCAGAGGGCGAAAGCUGCAUUUUAAAUUCAAAUAUAUCUAAGUGUUUUUACUAUACCCCAAAAGGAUAAAAAAUUAGAGCUCCCCUUUAAAUUUUCUAUACUUGGAAGUAAAAUAAACCACCUUGUUUAAUACCUUUUACUCAUUGCAGAUGGAAUAAUAAUCCCUCCUGAAUGCUAAAGAAGUGAAAUAUUCAAUUUUAAAUACUUGUAAUUCCAUCAUACAACUUCAAGUGGUUGAAGUGGCAACCACCAUUUUUUUUUAAACAAUAGUCAAAGUUAACAUGAAAUAAUAAUUCAAUUAGUGAAAUAUCUAUAUCUGUUUAAAUUUCCCAAAGGACUCAUUAAAGAAGCAUUAUCUCUGUCAGGGACCUAAUUAUUUGUCUUCAUUUUCUAAGCAAUUUACCUUUCAUCUUUAAUCUUAGCUUUCUUGAGCUUUCUUCUCUUGAAUUUUUCAGUUUUAGGGAGCUCCAGUUAGGUCCUACCAUUCCUCUGCAUUUUCAUUUUCUGGGUUUCUUGUGCUUUUUUUCUUCAUUGCUCCUUUACAAUUAAUAUUGAUCACUUUUCACCUCUGGGAUAUUUAUAUCUCAAAAGUACAUCUUAUUGAGCAUCUUUCUAAUUAGCUCAAGUAUUUUCUUUAUGCCCUCUUCCUCAUGUUCAGGGGCAUCUGGCUAAGAGCCAGUUUUUAUAUACUGAAAAUCUGUUUUACGUGGCAUAAUUAAUAUUUUAUUUUUCAUUUAAAAAUUACUAGUACUGAUUCACUUAAAUUAUAAUUUUAGUAAGCAUACCUUUUUGCUUUAGGUUAUACAGUACAUAUUACUAUCUUUCCCUUUGAUCUUUAAACAGAGUACUGUCUGUCAAUCUUAGGAUUAAGCUCAUAAAGUUCUAAUAUGUAAUUUUAAUGUUCAAGGUUGACUUGAUUACAACCUGGAGGUAGUUUACUGCAUUUCUUUGGGGAUGUAGUAAAGUAUCAGAAUAGCUGCUGCUUUUUUCACUUUAAUGUCCUUCUUCCUGUGAGACAGGUGCUACUUUCCUCUUGUUCCUUUAUGUUCUUCCUCUCUCCCUCCCCCAUCCAUCUUUCCAUCUUCUUUUCUCCAUCUCAUUUAAGCUUUAACUAGUCCAUAAGGAAAUGUUCUGCUUUCUAAAAGUAAUGUGAAAAAAAUUGAGACACAAGUGUUGAUGAAGAUAUGCACUGAAUAAUUAAGAAAAUAGAAAAUCAAAACCAGUUUUGGUUUACGAUUGCAUGGUUGUAACUACCAUGAUAUAUUUUCUGCAAACUGAAACGAACAUUUAUGAUGAUGUUUUUUAAUGGCAUAAAAUCUGUCCAGGGUGAUACUAGUUCACAGGUUAGUAAAUCUGUUUCUAAUCAUCAAACCCAUUUUGCAGGUUAGACAAUACAGUUAAAAAUGUUGAAGCCAAAAAAUUAUGUAGGGAUAUAGAAAAUCUUAUUUUGUAAUAGAAUUAUUGUAAAACCAAGACACCAUUCCAACUUGAAAUUUUUCCUUCAUCCAAACACUUGAAUAAGGAAAAUUCUCGUCAUCUAAUCAAUGGAGUCUAUGCUGUGAUCACCAAUGGUUCUAUAUUAGUCCAGGAAAGCCAUUUUUCAUACAUGAUAAAACAAGAAAAACCUAUUUCAUCCAAAUACCCAUUUAUUUAUGUAUCUGCUUGUUCACUAACCCAUAUAUUUGGUUAAUAAAUAUUUAUUGCCAAAUGUUUUGUAAUAUGGUGACAACAUAACAGAGAACCUAAUAAACUUUCUCUGCCUGCCCUUAAUGAACUUUCCAUUAUAAUAAACUAUAGAAAGAGAGGAGUUGUUCAUCCACAUAGAAGGGAUAUGAUCUUAUCUCAAAAUCAUUAACAUUUUAGUAAUUAAUACUUUUUUUUCCCAAUCAUAAAAUCAAAUUAUAUAUUUUCUUAGAAUGCCCUGGAUUUAACACAUUCUGAUUAGGAAAUCUAGUUAAGGUCCAUAAUGUUCAUCACUGUCCCCAGGAAGGACAGUGAGAAUGCUUUUUAAAAAUCUCUAUGCUCUGAAUUUUUGAAGGUUGGCUCUCCAUCUGAGUAUGAGUGGUAGGUAUGAAUACAUAAGAACCCUCUUCAGCUCUCUUCUCUGAGAUGUGGGGAUGGGAUUUAGCAUAAAAUAAGCAGGUGUAGAUUCUAUAAGGAGUUUGAUACUCUUAGAAGUAGUAAGAGGCCCUUGAUAAUAGGUUUCAACACAAAUUUCUGAAGAAAUGUAAAGACAAAAAAGACCCUCUAGCAUGCUUAUUAUGACAUAGUGCUUCUUCAUUUAUUUGUGAACUUGAUAAAAGAAUAAAAAUGUAUGAGUUCCCUUGUGUUGCAGAAGGUUAAGGAUCUGGCAUUGUCACUACUGUGGCAUGGAUUUGAUCCCUGGCCA
RNAcentral lists this long non-coding RNA (3557 nucleotides) under Sus scrofa (pig). RNAcentral describes it as "lncRNA (ENSSSCG00000061298.1)". The record is from RNAcentral. Lineage: Eukaryota; Metazoa; Chordata; Mammalia; Artiodactyla; Suidae.